GAAGAAGAAGAAGAGGAUGCUGAAGAGGGGGAGAGUGCUUGCCGCGAGCUCAGUUCCGCUCCGGUGGAGCAGAGCGGCAAGGUGCUCAAGAGAGGUCAGGUAGGGGUCCGGGAGUAGCAGGGGGAGGUUGGCCGAGGUGAGGUGCGAUGUGGCUGUCGCGGAGAAGCCUGCUAGGGAGGAGCCGAGGAGGUGACCGAGGAGAAGUUCGAGUAGCACGUGAAGGUGAGACAUGGACACCAUUCAUAUAUGUAAUUCAAGUUGUUUCAGAUGGGAUUUGUCAAUCAGUGUUGUUAGGAUUUUCAGGAGAACAAAGACCUUGGGGCUGACAACACUCUAAUUGGUCAGUUUGGUGUUGGAUUUUACUCAGCUUUUCUUGUAGCAGAGAAGGUUGUGGUGUCCACUAAGAUCUCAAAAUCAGAUAAACAAUAUGUGUGGGAAGCCGUGGCUGACAGUAGAUCUUAUGUCAUUAAGGAGUAGACUGACUCCGAGACUUCUAUAGCCUGAUGAUUAGUAUGAGUUUGCAGACCCUUCAAGGAUUCAAGGCUUAGUUAAGAACUACUCUCAGUUUGUAUCUUCCCCCAUAUACAUGUGGCAGGAGAAAUCAAGAACUGUUGAGGUUUUUUCCUUGCUCUUGUUGAUUUGUAUUGAAUUGGCUGCUCCACUUGAUUUGUUGAUUUGUAUUCUUUCUGCACUGGUAUGUGGCUCUCCUCAUUGCAUUCUUUGUCAAAGUCACUUACAUUGAUAAUAUCUUCAUUCUCUUCAUAACUUGUCUGCAAAAUAUUGUUAAAGUUAAAAUAUUUCCAUCAACGAUAAGAUAAACUGCAAAUUAUAUGUCCCUUAGAGUACCUGAUUAUUUGAAAUUUUUGGAUUGCUGAUCUUAUCUGAUGUUGUUUCACAGUUCAACUUUCUCUUUUUUUAAUUUUCGAGCAGUUUGAUGAUUUCUAUUUUCACCAAUUUCCCUUUGUUGUUCCUACAAAAACAUAUCAAAAAUAUUAUACAAUUACAUAUUGACUAAUAAAUAUGAAAUAUGAUGUUAUGUUUCUUUGGCGUACUUCAUUGUUAUAACAAUCUGAUUCCCUCUGCAUGUAAAUGUCAUCCUGUAAUCAAUAGUAAAGAAGCAUUGUUAGUGUUAUUUGUAAUUAUGAAAAAAUAAACUAAUAUGUAAAAUGGCUGAAUAUUUGAAAUUAUUGUCUACAAUGCAACCUUUCUUUCUUUAUGUUUUCCGUGGAAAAUAUUUUUCUUUGACCUUUUGGCUGACUUCAAGAUAACUUGAUUAUCAUCCCUUAGAAAUUCAGAAUCAUCGAUGCCUUCUUCCUACAAAUAAAACACACGCACACAUAGACAAAAAUACUUGUUAAAUUCUAAAUACCUAUUAAAGCAACAUGUAAAAUGAAAAUGUUAUUUAUUCUGGUACCUCAUUAGUUGAAGAUUUUGCUUCCAUCACAACCACUGAACCUUUUCUUUUUCCAUACACAACUUUCCUUAAUUUUUUUUCUGCCUUUUUGAAUCUUUGUUACCAUCCUUUACCAUUUCACCAACAUUUUGUUCUGCAACAACACGUUUCUUUUUUUCCCUGUUUAUCUUUUUGGCCAAUCUUAUUUCCUCAACUUGAUUAUUCGAAAAUUUCAAUUCAAGCUCAUCAAUCUUUUUGGCCACUCUUGUGCCGAUCUUAAUGGAUUUUUCUAAUUCAACUUUCUUUUUGGAAUGAUUGUAUUCAACGUCUAAAGCUUCAUCAACUUGAGGUCUUCUCCUUAACAAUUUUCCAUCAUCAAUCUUACUUUUUUUGCUACAAACUGUAAUAUUAUUUUCUUCUUCAUCUGAGUCAUCUUCGACAAUCAUUACUCUCUGUCUUCUUUGAUUGACAUCCUUGAGUUUCUUCGAUGAUGAAAAUUUUCCUUUACAUUUAUUGUAAUCCAUGUUGCUUAUAUCGCUAUCUUCCAAUAAUUCAACAUGUGUCACUAUGUGUGAAGUCUUUAUGGUUGGUGAAUUCUUGAUGUUUAGUUCCUGCUAAGCAAAACAAUCAGAAAAGACAUAAGGAAAAUGAAUUAAAAAUAGAAAAAAAAAUCGCCCAUUACCUCUUCAUUUUUCUUUGUUGAAUAUUCCAAUUCAAGCUUUUUGUCGGGUACAAAUGUUCUUUUAACUAAAUAGUAUGCUUUUCCUUCAGUCAAAUUCUGGUUGCUGAGUUUGAAUCGAAAAAUAAAUGAUUUUCCACAUAACUCAUGUAUAAUCUGUGGAACUUCUUCAGAUUUUCCAUUAUGUAAAUCUAGCAAAUCCGUGAUGGUUGUCUUGAGCAUUCUUCGUGCUUCAUCGUCAAAUAUACUACAGGUGGUAGUUGCAGUGUGAUCACUAAUUUGGAGUUGGAUCCAAUACCUAACAUAACAUGAAUGUUAGGGCUAUGAAAUAAAAAUAUUUAAAAAAUUUAGUACAGUAUCAAUACCUAGGAGUUGUUGUUUCUGGUUCUAAAUUGCAUUUAUUGCAAUAAUACUUGUUCUCUAUCUUAAUACACAUUUUGUUGCAAACUUUGCAUGACAUGUACCACCAAGAAUAAUUAUCUAAUUUAUCAAUCGUAGCUCUUGACGUAAAUACAAAAUCCUACAAUGUGAAAAUCAGAUGUUAGUCUUUUAAAUAUUUUAAAAUAUGAUGCACAUUAAAUCAAUAUAAAAAACAGAUAUAUGAACUCUAUGUUGUACCUGAUCUGUUGGGUUGUCAUGUCUCAUUUGUGUAAUUUCCAAUAAAGUUCUUCUGUUAUAAAACAUUUGCUCUUUUAUUGUACCUUGUGUACUUUUAUCUACCUCCAUCAAUUUUGCUACAUUUUCUUCAUUUUGGAGACUAUAAAAUAUAAAGCAUUAGGACAAAAUAAAAAAAAAUUAGCUGUGCAUUGAAACUUGGAAAAAAAGACAUCAUUUCACAUACCUGUCAAUAAGCUCCAAAGUUUUUGGUAUAUCUAGAUUUGUAUAUAAUCUUGUGCCAUUGCCUGAUUUUAGAAAUAGCAUGUCUAUUUUUAAAAAUAUUAAUAUGUUAGUGUUUCUAAAUUUGCAAAUAUAAUGAUACAUAGUAAAUAAAUUGAAAAUACCUUGAAGUCCAUCCACCAUUGUUGAUGUAACUAUUAAGACUGUUUGCUUCCCAAUAAGAUCUUCAGUCAAAGAAUGAGCUAAGUUCCCCCAUAAUGUUAUCCUGACUUUAUGAUCCUGAAAUUUUGGUGCAAUAUUAUACAAUUUUUAUUUUAAAUUGCAAACAAUCAAUCACAUCAUUUCCAAUAAAAUAAGAAUGAAGACAAUUUAACAUGCUUACUUUGCUAUCAAAAGUUCUAUCUCGCGAAUGUCCCUUUGUCGUGGAUUGGCGGUGUUUUUCAUUAUCAUUCUAGUUUCUACUUUCUUAAUUUUUAUGAGUAAUCCAAUAACAUCUGCAAAUUUAGAAAACAAAAAUUUAAAUUAAAAAUAAUAUAAAAUAGAUAGAUAGAUUUUUAUAUUAUAAAAAAACAUAACGGUAAACUUACCGGAGCAUUGCUUAUCACUAUUUCUCCGCUCUAGCAGUAUAUCUCUAGAGGCAAACUCAAAAUAAUAGUCCUGAUACUCAUUUGAUUGUUCUUUCAAUUUCGUGACAUUUGUAUUGUAAAUGAAUACUAUUUUAAGUGUAUUCUUAACUGGACGGUACCUAGUGUCUUCUUGGACUUUGAAAUUGCUAAGUGCAUAGAUACAACCCUCGUUUAGCUUUGGUUUAAAACUGUUGAUCAGGUUCUUCUAUAUAGUAGCGUGAAUUGUUUCACCCUGUGAAACAAAUAUUAAUUUCGCAAUGAUCAGUAAAAUUAAUAACUAAAAGGAAAAUGACAUACCAAGGUGUUUUAAAUAUUAAGUGUUACAGCAAUACCUGAUCAUCCAUAAGAAUCAUAUCUAAGCUCAUAAGUUCCUCAGUUGCAAAAUUAAUUGACUCCCACAUUCUAAUCACUUUCACUUUAAUUUUCCAUGCUUGUCCACAUGUUGUCAACUGACUCAAUUUUUUUUAUGUCAUAGUGCGGAAUCCUGUGAAAAAAUGCAGAUAUGACAUAUAGGAUAUGAUAUGAUACUGUCUAUACUUACCAAUAUUUAGCUAUACUGUUGCAAAACUGAAUUUCAUAAUGCAUUCCCUCAGGAGUAAGAAUGUUAUCACUUGCACUUGUGUUCAUCUGAAGGAACUGAUAUGUUGCAAAACUGAAUUUCAAUAUGUUUGCGCUUAAUAGUUAGAAGAAUUCUAGGCAUUUAUAGGUGUACUAAUUGUACAAACACACUUUUGCUUUAUAUGCUAUUACAUGACCUCAGAGUGAAUGAAUGGAGAUCAAUUACAAAGGAAUGUUGAUGUUCAAAAAACAAUCAAAGGAACCUUAUGAGCGGCAAAACUGAAUUCCAUAAUGCAUGCCCUUAGGAGUAAGAAUAAUUGUAGGUAUCUAUGUGUUCACUAAUUGUAAAAGCAAAUUUUAACUUUAAAUGUUAUCACUUGCACUUGUGUUCAUCUGAAGUAACUGAUCUGUUGCAAAACUGAAUUUCAAUAUGUUUGCGCUUAAUAGUUAGAAGAAUUCUAGGCAUUUAUAGGUGUACUAAUUGUACAAACACACUUUUGUUUUAUAUGCUAUUACAUGACCUCUGAGUGAAUGAAUGGAGAUCAAUUACAAUGGAAUGCUGAUGUUCAAAAAACAAUCAAAGAACCUUAGGCCGCUAAGCGAUGGCAAUAUACAGCUAUGAGUAAUUAAACAUUGAAGUUGUCAAGUUACUACAAUGAUUAACAUAUGUUUCAGUGUCAGAAUGCUAAAGGCAAUAUACAUCUAUAAGUAAGUAAUUUUGUGUCUAAUUUUUGGUCAAAACUAAUUUCAGAGAAUUCAUCUUUUACUUAUUCAAAUAAACUUACCGAUCAACAGGCAGAAGCUGGAAGGCCACCAAACAAAUAAAAAGCCAACUGAUCAGGAUGCUAUACUAUAGCAGCCAGAUGAUGGUACAGCCAGGUUGAUUCCGAUGAAAAACUUGGACGGAGAACCAAUGAAAACCCAUCAAUGACUAAUGAGGGUCGACAAAGAUUACGAACCUAGCAAGAAACCUGCAGCACCAAUGCAGAUUGACGGAGAAAUAAAAGCAAUGCAGAAUUUCAUCAUAUCUUUUUUAAUAUAUAGGUCUCUGAACCAAACAUCCUUUGAACCAUAUAAUAGUCAGAAACCGAUUCGAAUA
Phragmites australis (common reed) is the source of this 5192-nucleotide long non-coding RNA. RefSeq lists it as uncharacterized. Lineage: Eukaryota; Viridiplantae; Streptophyta; Magnoliopsida; Poales; Poaceae. The record is from RefSeq and is a predicted model, not a curated record. The transcript is spliced from 5 exons.